RNAcentral lists this ribosomal RNA (380 nucleotides) under uncultured archaeon. RNAcentral's name for it is "bacterial SSU rRNA". It matches the Rfam family "Archaeal small subunit ribosomal RNA", at positions 471 to 851 of the family's 1478-position model. The record is from RNAcentral.
UAACACCAGCCCCUCGAGUGGUGGGGAAGUUUAUUUGGCCUAAAGCGUCCGUAGCCGGCUAGGUAAGUCCCUCGUUAGAUCCAGCGUCCCAAGCGCUGGGCCGCGAGGGAGACUGUCUAGCUAGAGGGUGGGUGAGGUUAGCGGUUUUCCUGGGGUAGGGGCGAAAUCCUUUGAUCCCAGGAGGACCACCAGUGGCGAAGGCUGCUGACCAGAACACGCCUGACGGUCAGGGACGAAAGCUGGGGGAGCGAAUCGGAUUAGAUACCCGAGUAGUCCCAGCCGUAAACGAUGCAGGCUAGGUGUUGGAGCGGCCACGCGCCGCUUCAGUGCCACAGGGAAGCCAUUAAGCCUGCCGCCUGGGGAGUACGGCCGCAAGGCUG